RNAcentral lists this ribosomal RNA (253 nucleotides) under uncultured bacterium. RNAcentral's name for it is "partial 16S ribosomal RNA". It matches the Rfam family "Bacterial small subunit ribosomal RNA", at positions 524 to 776 of the family's 1533-position model. The record is from RNAcentral.
UACGGGGGGUGCAAGCGUUGUUCGGAAUUACUGGGCGUAAAGGGCUCGUAGGUGGCCACCUAAGUCAGACGUGAAAUCCCUCGGCCUAACCGAGGAACUGCGUCCGAUACUGCGGUGCUUGAGGAUCAGAGGGGUGCAUGGAAUUUCCGGUGGAGCGGUGAAAUGCGUUGAUAUCGGAAGGAACACCGGCGGCGAAAGCGAUGCACUGGGUGAAUUCUGACGCUGAGGUGCGAAAGCGAGGGGAGCAAACGGG